Molecule: ribosomal RNA, 476 nt
Filed under: uncultured bacterium
Lineage: Bacteria
Description: partial 16S ribosomal RNA
Rfam family: Bacterial small subunit ribosomal RNA
Source: RNAcentral
GAUGAACGCUGGCGGCGUGCUUAACACAUGCAAGUCGAGCGAGUGAGUUCUUCGGAACAAUCUAGCGGCGGACGGGUGAGUAACACGUGGGCAACCUGCCUCAUAGAGGGGAAUAGCCUCCCGAAAGGGAGAUUAAUACCGCAUAAAAUUAUCGAGUGGCAUCACAUGAUAAUCAAAGGAGUAAUCCGCUAGGAGAUGGGCCCGCGGCGCAUUAGAUAGUUGGUGAGGUAACGGCUCACCAAGGCGACGAUGCGUAGCCGACCUGAGAGGGUGAUCGGCCACAGUGGGACUGAGACACGGCCCAGACUCCUACGGGAGGCAGCAGUGGGGAAUAUUGCACAAUGGGGGAAACCCUGAUGCAGCAACGCCGCGUGAGUGAUGAAGGUCUUCGGAUUGUAAAGCUCUGUCAUUGGGGACGAUAAUGACGGUACCCAAGGAGGAAGCCACGGCUAACUACGUGCCAGCCGCCGCGGUAA